RNAcentral lists this ribosomal RNA (253 nucleotides) under uncultured bacterium. RNAcentral describes it as "partial 16S ribosomal RNA". It matches the Rfam family "Bacterial small subunit ribosomal RNA", at positions 524 to 776 of the family's 1533-position model. The record is from RNAcentral.
UACGAAGGGGGCUAGCGUUGCUCGGAAUCACUGGGCGUAAAGCGCACGUAGGCGGAUCGUUAAGUCAGGGGGGAAAUCCUGGAGCUCAACUCCAGAACUGCCUUUGAUACUGGCGACCUUGAGUUCGGGAGAGGUGAGUGGAACUGCGAGUGUAGAGGUGAAAUUCGUAGAUAUUCGCAAGAACACCAGUGGCGAAGGCGGCUCACUGGCCCGAUACUGACGCUGAGGUGCGAAAGCGUGGGGAGCAAACAGG